UGGAAGUAAAAGUCGUAACAAGGUCUCCGUUGGUGAACCAGCGGAGGGAUCAUUACAGAGUUGCAAAACUCCAAACCAUUGUGAACUUACCUUUGCCGUUGCUUCGGCGGGCGGCCCGGGCCCUGUGCCCGGCGCCCCUCGGCCCCACUCGGGGCGCCCGCCGGAGGUAAACCAAACUCUUGAAUUGUAUGGCCUCUCUGAGUCUUCUGUACUGAAUAAGUCAAAACUUUCAACAACGGAUCUCUUGGUUCUGGCAUCGAUGAAGAACGCAGCGAAAUGCGAUAAGUAAUGUGAAUUGCAGAAUUCAGUGAAUCAUCGAAUCUUUGAACGCACAUUGCGCCCGCCAGUAUUCUGGCGGGCAUGCCUGUUCGAGCGUCAUUUCAACCAUCAAGCCCCGGGCUUGUGUUGGGGACCUGCGGCUGCCGCAGGCCCUGAAAACCAGUGGCGGGCUCGCUAGUCACUCCGAGCGUAGUAGUUUACACCUCGCUCAGGGCGUGCUGCGGGUUCCGGCCGUUAAAAGCCUUAUUUUACCCAAGGUUGACCUCGGAUCAGGUAGGAAGACCCGCUGAACUUAAGCAUAUCAAUAAGCGGAGG
Molecule: ribosomal RNA, 594 nt
Filed under: fungal sp. ARIZ L48
Lineage: Eukaryota; Fungi
Description: eukaryotic LSU rRNA
Rfam family: 5.8S ribosomal RNA (bases 225-378)
Source: RNAcentral